This 29-nucleotide small RNA is filed under the name Bombyx mori (domestic silkworm). Its description in RNAcentral is "ovarian small RNA-30970". The record is from RNAcentral. Lineage: Eukaryota; Metazoa; Arthropoda; Insecta; Lepidoptera; Bombycidae.
UGAAGGUAUGUCCUGCGGACGCGAGCGAC